AGUAUGGUGUAGUGGGAGCAGCCCACUGGGCUUUCAAACCAGAGACAGGGGUUCAAUCCCCCUCA
RNAcentral lists this transfer RNA (65 nucleotides) under uncultured Nitzschia. It matches the Rfam family "tRNA", at positions 8 to 63 of the family's 71-position model. From Rfam's summary of the family: Transfer RNA (tRNA) molecules are approximately 80 nucleotides in length. The record is from RNAcentral. Lineage: Eukaryota; Bacillariophyta; Bacillariophyceae; Bacillariales; Bacillariaceae.